Molecule: ribosomal RNA, 253 nt
Filed under: uncultured bacterium
Lineage: Bacteria
Description: partial 16S ribosomal RNA
Rfam family: Bacterial small subunit ribosomal RNA
Source: RNAcentral
UACGGGGGGGGCAAGCGUUGUUCGGAAUUACUGGGCGUAAAGGGCUCGUAGGUGGCCAACUAAGUCAGACGUGAAAUCCCUCAGCUUAACUGGGGAACUGCGUCUGAUACUGGAUGGCUUGAGUUUGGGAGAGGGACGCGGAAUUCCAGGUGUAGCGGUGAAAUGCGCAGAUAUCAGGAGGAACACCGGUGGCGAAGGCGGGUCUCUGGGCCGAUACUGACGCUGAGGAGCGAAAGCGUGGGGAGCGAACAGG